UGCUAUUUGAAAAGGGAGUUUUGCUAUUUGAAAAGGGAGUUUUGCUAUUUGAAAAGGGAGUUUUGCUAUUUGAAAAGGGUGUUUUGCUAUUUGAAAAGGGUGUUUUGCUAUUUAAAAACGGAGUUUUGCUAUUUCAAACAACCGACUCCAACGUUUCUUAGUGCCAUCAGUGCAAUCAUGUUUCAUGCCAAGACAUCUCAGACACAUGAUAUAUACCAAAAAAAU
Non-coding RNA from Paramuricea clavata, 225 nucleotides. The record is from the annotation of a GenBank genome assembly. NCBI's taxonomy places the organism in Eukaryota, Metazoa, Cnidaria, Anthozoa, Malacalcyonacea, Plexauridae.